This 449-nucleotide ribosomal RNA is filed under the name uncultured bacterium. Its description in RNAcentral is "partial 16S ribosomal RNA". It matches the Rfam family "Bacterial small subunit ribosomal RNA", at positions 29 to 523 of the family's 1533-position model. The record is from RNAcentral.
AAUGAACGCUGGCGGCAGGUCUAACACAUGCAAGUCGAACGGAUCCUUCGGGAUUAGUGGCGGACGGGUGAGUAACGCGUGGGAACAUACCCAAAGGUACGGAAUAGCCUCGGGAAACUGGGAGUAAUACCGUAUGUGCUCGAAAGAGGAAAGAUUUAUCGCCUUUGGAUUGGCCCGCGUUGGAUUAGGUGGUUGGUGGGGUAAUGGCCUACCAAGCCGACGAUCCAUAGCUGGUUUGAGAGGAUGAUCAGCCACACUGGGACUGAGACACGGCCCAGACUCCUACGGGAGGCAGCAGUGGGGAAUCUUAGACAAUGGGGGAAACCCUGAUCUAGCCAUGCCGCGUGGUCGAUGAAGGCCUUAGGGUUGUAAAGAUCUUUCAGGUGGGAAGAUAAUGACUGUACCACCAGAAGAAGCCCCGGCUAACUCCGUGCCAGCCGCCGCCGUAA